AUGACUUUAUACUGUCAGAAGGAGGAGAGGAGGUUUUUAUAUCAUCAGGAGGAGGAGAGGAGGACUUUAUAUCAUCAGGAGGAGGAGAGGAGGACUUUACAUCAUCAGAAGGAGGAGAGGAGGACUUUAUAUCAUCAGGAGGAGAGGAGGACUUUAUAUCAUCAGGAGGAGGAGAGGAGGACUUUAUAUCAUCAGAAGGAGGAGAGGAGGACUUUAUAUCAUCAGGAGGAGGAGAGGAGGACUUUAUAUCAUCAGAAGGAGGAGAGGAGGACUUUAUAUCAUCAGGAGGAGGAGAGGAGGACUUUAUAUCAUCAGGAGGAGGAGAGGAGGACUUUAUAUCAUCAGGAGGAGGAGAGGAUGACUUUAUAUCAUCAGGAGGAGAGGAGGACUUUAUAUCAUCAGGAGGAGGAGAGGAGGACUUUAUAUCAUCAGGAGGAGGAGAGGAGGACUUUAUAUCAUCAGGAGGAGGAGAGGAGGACUUUAUAUCAUCAUGAGGAGGAGAGGAGGACUUUAUAUCAUCAGGAGGAGGAGAGGAGGACUUUAUAUCAUCAGGAGGAGGAGAGGAGGACUUUAUAUCAUCAGGAGGAGGAGAGGAGGACUUUAUAUCAUCAGAAGGAGGAGAGGAGGACUUUAUAUCAUCAGGAGGAGGAGAGGAGGACUUUAUAUCAUCAGGAGGAGGAGAGGAGGACUUCAUAUCAUCAGAAGGAGGAGAGGAGGACUUUAUAUCAUCAGGAGGAGGACAGGAGGACUUUAUAUCAUCAGGAGGAGGAGAGGAGGACUUUAUAUCAUCAGGAGGAGGAGAGGAGGACUUUAUAUCAUCAGGAGGAGGAGAGGAGGACUUUAUAUCAUCAGGAGGAGGAGAGGAGGACUUUAUAUCAUCAGGAGGAGGACAGGAGGACUUUAUAUCAUCAGGAGGAGGAGAGGAGGACUUUAUAUCAUCAGGAGGAGGAGAGGAGGACUUUAAAUAAUAAGGAGGAGGAGAGGAGGACUUUAUAUCAUCAGGAGGAGAGGAGGACUUUAUAUCAUCAGGAGGAGGACAGGAGGACUUUAUGUCAUCAGGAGGAGGAGAGGAGGACUUUAUAUCAUCAGGAGGAGAGGAGGACUUUAUAUCAUCAGGAGGAGAAGAGCAGGACUUUAUAUCAUCAGGAGGAGGAGAGGAGGACUUUAUAUCAUCAGGAGGAGGAGAGGAUGACUUUAUACUGUCAGAAGGAGGAGAGGAGGUUUUUAUAUCAUCAGGAGGAGGAGAGGAGGACUUUAUAUCAUCAGGAGGAGGAGAGGAGGACUUUACAUCAUCAGAAGGAGGAGAGGAGGACUUUAUAUCAUCAGGAGGAGAGGAGGACUUUAUAUCAUCAGGAGGAGGACAGGAGGACUUUAUGUCAUCAGGAGGAGGAGAGGAGGACUUUAUAUCAUCAGGAGGAGAGGAGGACUUUAUAUCAUCAGGAGGAGAAGAGCAGGACUUUAUAUCAUCAGGAGGAGGAGAGGAGGACUUUAUAUCAUCAGGAGGAGGAGAGGAUGACUUUAUACUGUCAGAAGGAGGAGAGGAGGUUUUUAUAUCAUCAGGAGGAGGAGAGGAGGACUUUAUAUCAUCAGGAGGAGGAGAGGAGGACUUUACAUCAUCAGAAGGAGGAGAGGAGGACUUUAUAUCAUCAGGAGGAGAGGAGGACUUUAUAUCAUCAGGAGGAGGAGAGGAGGACUUUAUAUCAUCAGAAGGAGGAGAGGAGGACUUUAUAUCAUCAGGAGGAGGAGAGGAGGACUUUAUAUCAUCAGAAGGAGGAGAGGAGGACUUUAUAUCAUCAGGAGGAGGAGAGGAGGACUUUAUAUCAUCAGGAGGAGAGGAGGACUUUAUAUCAUCAGGAGGAGGAGAGGAGGUUUUUAUAUCAUCAGAAGGAGGAGAGGAGGACUUUAUAUCAUCAGCAGGAGUAG
RNAcentral lists this long non-coding RNA (1923 nucleotides) under Sparus aurata (gilthead seabream). Its description in RNAcentral is "lncRNA (ENSSAUG00010005795.1)". Lineage: Eukaryota; Metazoa; Chordata; Actinopteri; Spariformes; Sparidae. The record is from RNAcentral.